AUUCGAUCAGCCUGCACUCUCUGGUUGUGUCAGAAGGAAAGUGCUUCCUGUUCGGAUAA
RNAcentral lists this microRNA precursor (59 nucleotides) under Ornithorhynchus anatinus (platypus). RNAcentral describes it as "Oan-Mir-430-P53_pre stem-loop". Lineage: Eukaryota; Metazoa; Chordata; Mammalia; Monotremata; Ornithorhynchidae. The record is from RNAcentral.